Long non-coding RNA from Homo sapiens (human), 7169 nucleotides. Ensembl annotates it as GAS6 antisense RNA 1. Its record names the gene GAS6-AS1. The record is from Ensembl. NCBI's taxonomy places the organism in Eukaryota, Metazoa, Chordata, Mammalia, Primates, Hominidae.
CGUGUAAGAAGUGCCUUUUGCCUCCCACCGUGAUUCUGAGGCCUCCCCAACCAUGUGCAAUUGCACAGGCCCAGGCUGAAGAGGAAAGACAAGAGCCGCCCUGCCCAGAAACGUCCACAUGUGGGUACUGCAUUCCUACCGGUGUGACAGCUUGAGGCCCCCACGCCCGUCACAGUGGCAGGUGUAGCUCCCUGGGGAGUUCACGCAGACCUGCUCACAGCGGCCCUGCAGACACUCGUCCACAUCUGCCAGCCAGAGGGAAGCGGCGGUGAGCCGGGGAGGCCUCUACGCUGUCCCGCCGUGGGAUCACACCGCGAUUGCUCAAACCACACGCAAGGUCCUGCCAUCAGAGGAGAGCUCGAAGCCGCUGUGGCAGGAACAGUGGAAGCUACCCGGCUUGUUGUGGCAGAUCUGGAGGCAGCCCCCGUUCUCCUGGCUGCAUUCGUUGACAUCUGGGAACAAGCACAGGCCUGAAGGGGAGCCCAAGGGUGCACAGCCCCUGGCUACGGAGGAGGCUGCAGGCCAGGAGUGACCUCUGGGUGCCGAGGACAGACAAGGCCAGGCCAGAGCUGGCCACUCCUUAGCAAAGCCCUCCCAGGCCACCUGUGGGGUAGGAUUUGCCAAAGGGGACAGGCUGGCCUGCUGGGCUCUCCACUAUGGGUCUCCACCAGGCCCUGGAGCUAUUCUUCCUCCAGGGUCUUCACUGACACCACAGGUCUACACUGAAGGACGGUCAGAGGUGAAAUCUCCCCCCGGCCUUUCAAUCAGUGGGUGCCACUGACACCACAGGUCUGCACUCAAGGACGGUCAGAGGUGAAAUUUCCCCCCCGCCUUUCAAUCAGUGGGUGCCACUGACACCACAGGUCUGCACUCAAGGACGGUCAGAGGUGAAAUUUCCCCCCCCGCCCUUCAAUCAGUGGGUGCUGAGGCAUCACUUGGUGUUUCCUUUCCUUCCAGCCCUGCUCCCAGAAAGGAGACUGCAGCUCCUCCCAAUUCUCCUGGGGCUCCAGGAUACCUCAGGGCUGCAGCCUCCUUGGGGCUGUCGGAGAGCAGCCUGAGGAUGGCCGUGCCCCGGAGUGGGAGUGAGGAGCGGGGAUCAGGGCAGGGUCGGAGAUGGAGGGAGACCCCGCCUUUGUCUUCAGCCUCACGUACCUUUGUCGCAGAGCCGGCCCCCCCAGCCAGCUUUACACAGGCAGAAGAAGUUGCCCAUGAGGUCCUGGCAGGCUUGGGUCCCCUUCCUAUCGCAGGGGUUGGGCGUGCACUGGUCAGGCAGGUCUGAUUGGGGACACAAAGUGGAAAAUCAUGUUCAGCUGCCCCACCCCUGCGCGCCCAACGCAGCUGAGAUCGGGGCGGCUGUGGGGUCUCGGGUCCAGCCCGGAGGAGCUCUGAGGGGCGCAGGCUGAGGCAGCCCCUGGGCACCCGAGCCCUCUGUGCUGGCCUAGGGCUGACAGAAUAGGCUGGCGGGCCCUGGGGCCGGCUCCAGGAAAACUCAGAUCAACUGGGAGGGAGUGCCAGCAGGCCUGGACGCAAGGUGGGAAGGGCUGAGGGCAAAGGAGCAGGAACUGCCUGGCGUGAGGCCUGGGAGCUCAGACCUCCCAGGGAGUAGGCACACAGAACCCCCAGCUGACCUGGGGGCUUCCAGGCAGACUCGGAACAUUCUGCCUUCCCUGGCCAGCCCCUAGCCCAUCUCUGGUGAACUCUCCCUGCUGGGUGUGGCGGGGAGGACCCCAGGCCCAGGCUGCACUGCCAGAGGGGUCCUCCAGGAAGCCCCCCUCUUUCUGCUUAGCUGCCCCCUCUCCACGUGUCUUGAUGGCUUUAGGCCAGGUGUGUUCUGCCCUUUCUCAGGGUGGUCACCUGGGCUCAGCUCCUGCAGGGCCAGAGGUCAGGGGAACGGGUGAGGGCCUGAGGGUGGGAACCCGUGCCAGUGCAGCUGCUUCCCAAGCAGUCCCCCAUCCGAGAAGCUGCUCACAAACACAUUCAUACGAGGAGCUGCUCACAAACACGCUUCCAGGACACGGACCCAAACCACGUCCCAGAGGCAGGCAGGGAAGCCCCCGACAGUGCAGUUACGCAAGCCUGAGCCCCGGGAAGUUGGCAGAAAGAACGACAAUUACACCCGGAGCUCAAAGAAUCCUUUCAUGGCUGCUGGCAGAGCAGAAGCAGCUCGGGGCUGAGCAUGGCAGUGCUCAGGGGCGCGGUCCACACUCAGCUCAGCCCCACAUGAGGACUCAGCCACGCUCAGCUUAGCCACACAGGGCUCCGUGGGGAACCCUGGGUAGGGCCCCCCUGCUGGCUGAGAGAGGGCUCCGGUCCAUUGAUUCCACACAAGUUCAAUAAGGACCAGUCCCUGGGAAAAGUGCAGGCCGGGCCAGCAGGGCCCUAGGGCACUGGGCCAGCAUCGUCCUAAGGGGUCAGCCCUGGUGGGGGCACGUCGAGUCUUCAGUGCAUGGGCUCUCACUGCCAGCGUGUCGCUUCUGUUCCUGAGGCUCCCAAGGUGACGUUUCCCACCAGGUCUGUAGAAUGUGGCGUUUCCACCAGAGGGUCUGGGCUCGGCUGUCAGUGCAGGAGCCGCUUCCAUCCCCACCUGGCCGGGGUCAGGGGUGCCCGGUGCCAGGGUGAGCGGCGGGCGGGUCUGUGGUUCACAAAGCUGAGUUCCUCCAGCUCAUCCAGGGCUUACAGUCACUGCCUGUGGCCGGCACAGACACAGCCCCUGUCCUCCUAGGCGGGUCCAGGCACCGCGCUCACCAGAGGCCCUGGCUACGAGUCCCAGGCUUCUUGGGGAAGCUGCCCAACCACACUGGCUUCUUUCUGCGACGCUUCGCCGUAUGCCUCACAGCGUUUCCUCCGUAUGCCUCACAGUUUGCUCCGUACACCCGCGUUUCCUCCGUAUGCCCCAGUUUCCUCCAUAUGCCUCAAUUUCCUCCAUACGCCCCACAGUUUCCUCCGUAUGCCCCAGUUUCCUCCAUACGCCCCGGUUUCCUCCAUACACCCCACAGUUUCCUCCAUACGCCCCACAGUUUCCUCCAUAUGCCCAGUUUCCUCCAUACACCCCACAGUUUCCUCCAUAUGCCUCAAUUUCCUCCAUACGCCCCCCAGUUUCUUCCAUACACCCCACAGUUUCCUCCAUAUGCCCAGUUUCCUCCAUACACCCCACAGUUUCCUCCAUAUGCCCAGUUUCCUCCAUACGCCCCCCAGUUUCCUCCAUACGCCCCACAGUUUCCUCCAUACGCCCCACAGUUUCCUCCAUACGCCCCACAGUUUCUUCCAUACGCCCCACAGUUUCCUCCAUAUGCCCAGUUUCCUCCAUACACCCCACAGUUUCCUCCAUAUGCCUCAAUUUCCUCCAUACGCCCCCCAGUUUCUUCCAUACACCCCACAGUUUCCUCCAUACGCCUCAAUUUUCUCUGUACGCCCCACAGUUUCCUCCAUAUGCCUCAGUUUCCUCCAUACGCCCCAGUUUCCUCCAUACGCCUCAAUUUCCUUUGUACGCCCCAGUUUCCUCCAUACGCCCCAGUUUCCUCCAUACGCCCCAGUUUCCUCCAUACGCCUCAAUUUCCUCUGUAUGCUUCAGUUUCCUCCAUACACCUCAGUUUCCUCCGUCUGCCUCACAGUUUCCUCUAUAAGCCUCAGUUUCCUCAGUACACCCCACAGUUUCCUCCCUACACCUCCGUUUGCUUGUUUUGCACAAAUGACUGACAACAGAACACUUGUGGGUGUGGACGGAGCUCGCGUCUCGAAGUGUUUCUAAGAUGCUAUUUUCAGCAGGUCACUAUAAACGCUUUCUACUCUGAAGCACACAGGGGCUGGGGCUGGCCUUCGGAGUUACGAGGAAACGAGGACCAGGACCAGGGAUUCUGCAUCAGCACAGCCGCCAGGAGCCGGCCGGGGCCCCAUCCCUGACACUGCUGUCGCCCGGCUGUACCUGGGUGCUGUGUCCGCGGGGCGUCUGGAGACGUCGAUGUGGUCAUAGCAGGGCCUGGAACGGGGAGGUCUGGCCUGAACUAGAGAAAUGAGGGGCGUAUCCGCUUCUCCACCCUGGCCUCAGAUGAAGAGGCUCUGGGGGCAGGAGGGAGUCAGACACGUGCAGGGCAGGCGGCCUGUGCAGGGCCCAACCCUCCGGCACCAGAACCUGACCUCCUCAGAGGCCCCCACCAUGGAGGGAUGUCUGGGGGAUGCUGUGCGCUGCCGCUACGAUGUUUGGUUAGAGAUUAAAGCCAUUUCAGAAGUGGACACCUGCCCAUGUGAUGCAAAGGGCUGGGAACCCGGUCUUGACUUUGCCUGGAAUGCCUUUCGGAAAGACCUCUGUCCCUGAGGCUGAGGGACAGUGCCUGCUCCUGCCAGGUGCCCAGCUCUUAAGCGGUCCCCAGACUCAUGCCACCUGCCCCGGGGCCUCCCCCAACUCAUUUGUUUAUUUCCCUGUUGGGAAUGUAUUGAUACCUCUAGGAUGCAAGGACGGAACCACACCUGAGGGGUGGACAGUCAGCCGGUGCCCAGCAAAUAUCUGUGGAAUUUCCUCCACACAACAGGGAAAGCGAUGGAGACAGAAACCUCUGCAGGCCCCCGAGGGCACCCACUUCCCUGACCCCGUCCACCUCCCUGACCCCCGCCCACCUCCCUGAUCCCCAUCCCGCAAGCUGGGCCUAGGGUAUCGGUGGCCUGGCUGGUCAUGCCCUGGGCGCCAGCGCCUGUUCAGGAGGUGAAGGGUUUAUCUCAGCUUGGCCCAUGACUGCGUUGAAGGACAGGAGGGAGCGGCUGUGGCUGUGGCUGGAAUCUGAAGCCGGUGCGGGCGGCCAGGGCCUUUCCCUGGGUGGUGACGAGCGAGGACCAGAGCCCUGUCUGCCCGAGGGAAGGGCGAGGGGACACUCCCCGUGGCGGGGGUGGGAUCCCGGUAGCCGGGGCUCAGUGACCGCUGCCUGGGCCACCGCCUGUGGGGACCUGACCUUCCUGGGGAAACCCAUGGGUCAAAGGAGCCGAGAAAUCCAAGCACCAAGUGGCCGCUAUGGCAGGACGGGCGCGUUCGCAGUGGAGAAGCUGGGUGUGUCCGUGGGAAAGGAAAGAAAUGGAAGCAGAGGCUCUUCAGGGGCACCUGGGAACGCAGCCUACACUCUUCCCAGGCCUCCUCCCUCCGUCCACUGUGCCGCCUGGGUCCUGGGACAGCCUGAGGGCCGCAGGCUCCCAUGCAAGGCCCGCUGGGGGCCUGCUUGUCUGGGGCUGAAUUUGGACUUUAUGGGGCUAUGGCUUUAAUUUCACAAUGACCGAUAACCAGUGAACUGAAGCCAGGACAGCACCGUGAGCACCAAGUCAGAGAAUUUUCACGAGGGAACCAAUGAACAGGAACAGAGUGUGAGGCUGCCCCAGCUGCAUCCUCCGGGAGGCGCCUUCCCAAGGGAGUGCAAGGCUGCCUGCUGUGGCCAGGCCACCAAAGCACCUUCUUCACCGCCAGGCAUCUUUUGAGGCACGCGAACAUCAGAGGCCCCAGCCACGUGCUCUGGAGGAGAAGCUGAGAGCCCCAGGCCACAGGCAGGGCAGCCUCUGAGGGCCGGCUCAGGGAGAGUGGCCGGAGCUUCUGGCCUGGGGCAGGUGGACCCGUUAGAAACUGCAUGUGUUGCCUCUGGCACCAGCCACAGCAAGAGAUUCUCUUCCUAUCACACAGGGAACAAACUCAAGGAUCUUGACCUUGCCCUCCUCUCCCCAGCUGGCCGCACUUGGGGACGCUGAUGCCACAAAGGAAAUAACCAAAACAAGAUAACUCUAUUGGGCGGCGGGAACAGAAAGGAACAUGUAGCAAUCACUCCUCUUCAUCCAUGCAAGGAAGCGAGGCGACGCCUUGAAAAGGACGGCCUUCUUUGCUGCAAAUAGCCAGAAGUGAACUGAGCAAAGGAAGCACGGGACGCACAGGAAGAAAAGUGCUCCAAGGGACGGACAGGACGGUGCCGGGGUUAGGAAAGCGCAACACUGUUCAGACACAGUCUCCGAUAUAUGAAUGGCAAGCCCAGUUAAAAAUAUCUAAAGGGCUUUUUUAGGUUUUUAAGAAUAUUUUUAAGGUUUAGUUUUAUUAAAAAAUAAGCAAGACAACCAGAAAAAAGACUGAGGAGGGCAUAGGAGACCCACCCGCGUGCAUGAGGCCGAGUCUAAAGCUGUGGCCACGGCCUGUGGAAACCCGGCAGAAAAUCUCCCAAAUACCCAGCAUAUGAGGACGGCAGCAGGUGAGGCACUGGGGUGAGACAGACUCAAAUGUGUGGUGUUGGGGCAGGAACUGAGCCUGCAGUCUAGAUCCCCACCUCAUCCAUCACGUCAAAAGAAAUUACGGGCGGGUCACAGAUGAAAACACCUAACAGCAGGUAACUGUUUUGUAAUCUUGGGGAGAAGCCUAAAGCCCAGGAACUAAGAGAGUAUAACAAGUGUGAAUACAGAAUUUAAAAGAAGAGACUGGUUUAGCAAUCACUAAGAUAAAACACGCGUGACAGGAUCUGCUUGUCUCCUCUGAGCACGCAGGAGCCUCUGCCCCAAAUGCAGACAUUGGGCCCUACGUGGCACCUGGCUACUGUGCAUGGUUGCAGGUCAGGGCAGGCCGGGCCACAGGGCAGGGCCACCCUCCCAUUCCCAUGUUUACACUGAGCAUUUCCUCUGCCUGUGUCUCUUGGGCUGGGGUCUGUGAUACAAGUCCGGGAGGCCAGAGACGCCCACGGACAGUGCGUGGGGCUUGGGGAGCGGGACUGAGCCACCUCUGACUCCUUCUGCUGACUGGGAUCCAGCUCCAAAGCCAUGCCUGGGAAGAGACUCCUGCCUCUCCCAGGAUGACUCCGUCCCGCCACGCCUCUGCUCUCAGCGCCCACAGGGACUCACCAAGCUGGACUUUCAUCUAAAACUAGACACACGUGACGCCAGCGGACCACAGACCCAGUGCAAGGGGAGCUGUGUGGGUUGUGCUGAAGGUAUGUUAAAAUUCAUACAGGACACCCAAAACAAUCAAUCUUAUUGCAUGAUAAUUUUAAAAUAAUAAAAAAGACUUGUGGCAAGCUGAAAAAAUUUUUGAUAACUUUACUACCAAUGGCUAAUGUGCAAACUCCUACAAAUUGAGAAAAACAGGCAAAAAAUAUAAACAACAGUUUAUAGGAAAAGAAAUACACAGUUUUUAAACCUAUGAAGGACAGCUUUACUCAUUAGUU